CAGAUGAACGCUGGCGGCGUGCUUAACACAUGCAAGUCGAACGAUGAUCUCCAGCUUGCUGGGGGGAUUAGUGGCGAACGGGUGAGUAACACGUGAGUAACCUGCCCUUGACUCUGGGAUAAGCCUGGGAAACUGGGUCUAAUACCGGAUACGACCGUCCCGCGCAUGCGGUGGUGGUGGAAAGCUUUUGCGGUUUUGGAUGGACUCGCGGCCUAUCAGCUUGUUGGUGGGGUAAUGGCCUACCAAGGCGACGACGGGUAGCCGGCCUGAGAGGGUGACCGGCCACACUGGGACUGAGACACGGCCCAGACUCCUACGGGAGGCAGCAGUGGGGAAUAUUGCACAAUGGGCGAAAGCCUGAUGCAGCGACGCCGCGUGAGGGAUGACGGCCUUCGGGUUGUAAACCUCUUUCAGUAGGGAAGAAGCGAAAGUGACGGUACCUGCAGAAGAAGCGCCGGCUAACUACGUGCCAGCAGCCGCGGUAAUACGUAGGGCGCAAGCGUUAUCCGGAAUUAUUGGGCGUAAAGAGCUCGUAGGCGGUUUGUCGCGUCUGCUGUGAAAGACCGGGGCUCAACUCCGGUUCUGCAGUGGGUACGGGCAGACUAGAGUGAUGUAGGGGAGACUGGAAUUCCUGGUGUAGCGGUGAAAUGCGCAGAUAUCAGGAGGAACACCGAUGGCGAAGGCAGGUCUCUGGGCAUUAACUGACGCUGAGGAGCGAAAGCAUGGGGAGCGAACAGGAUUAGAUACCCUGGUAGUCCAUGCCGUAAACGUUGGGCACUAGGUGUGGGGGACAUUCCACGUUUUCCGCGCCGUAGCUAACGCAUUAAGUGCCCCGCCUGGA
RNAcentral lists this ribosomal RNA (841 nucleotides) under Arthrobacter sp. Its description in RNAcentral is "bacterial SSU rRNA". It matches the Rfam family "Bacterial small subunit ribosomal RNA", at positions 26 to 877 of the family's 1533-position model. Lineage: Bacteria; Bacillati; Actinomycetota; Actinomycetes; Micrococcales; Micrococcaceae. The record is from RNAcentral.